AUACGGAGGGUGCGAGCGUUAAUCGGAAUUACUGGGCGUAAAGCGUACGUAGGCGGUUCGUUAAGUUAGAUGUGAAAGCCCCGGGCUUAACCUGGGAACUGCAUUUAAAACUGGCGAACUAGAGUUGAGUAGAGGGGAGUGGAAUUUCAGGUGUAGCGGUGAAAUGCGUAGAGAUCUGAAGGAACACCAGUGGCGAAGGCGACUCCCUGGACUCGAACUGACGCUGAGGUACGAAAGCGUGGGUAGCAAACGGGAUUAGAAACCCUAGUAGUCC
RNAcentral lists this ribosomal RNA (274 nucleotides) under uncultured bacterium. Its description in RNAcentral is "partial 16S ribosomal RNA". It matches the Rfam family "Bacterial small subunit ribosomal RNA", at positions 523 to 796 of the family's 1533-position model. The record is from RNAcentral.